This 465-nucleotide ribosomal RNA is filed under the name Vreelandella stevensii. RNAcentral's name for it is "partial 16S ribosomal RNA". It matches the Rfam family "Bacterial small subunit ribosomal RNA", at positions 338 to 795 of the family's 1533-position model. Lineage: Bacteria; Pseudomonadati; Pseudomonadota; Gammaproteobacteria; Oceanospirillales; Halomonadaceae. The record is from RNAcentral.
CCUACGGGCGGCAGCAGUGGGGAAUAUUGGACAAUGGGGGGAACCCUGAUCCAGCCAUGCCGCGUAUGUGAAGAAGGCCCUCGGGUUGUAAAGCACUUUCAGUGAGGAAGAACGCCUGGUGGUUAAUACCCAUCAGGAAAGACAUCACUCACAGAAGAAGCACCGGCUAACUCCGUGCCAGCAGCCGCGGUAAUACGGAGGGUGCGAGCGUUAAUCGGAAUUACUGGGCGUAAAGCGCGCGUAGGUGGCUUGAUAAGCCGGUUGUGAAAGCCCCGGGCUCAACCUGGGAACGGCAUCCGGAACUGUCAAGCUAGAGUGCAGGAGAGGAAGGUAGCAUUCCCGGUGUAGCGGUGAAAUGCGUAGAGAUCGGGAGGAAUACCAGUGGCGAAGGCGGCCUUCUGGACUGACACUGACACUGAGGUGCGAAAGCGUGGGUAGCAAACAGGAUUAGAUACCCGGGUAGUC